This 359-nucleotide long non-coding RNA is filed under the name Setaria viridis. Its description in RNAcentral is "long non-coding RNA (SVIR_LNC003755)". Lineage: Eukaryota; Viridiplantae; Streptophyta; Magnoliopsida; Poales; Poaceae. The record is from RNAcentral.
CGUGAUCAAGAUUUUAGAUGCGUACGAAUAAUAUAUAGGUUUUGUAGAUAUUUUAGUAUUGGGAGUGAUGGAUGAAAGGACAAGUUCUUGCUUUCAUAUGUUGAAUAUUCUGUUGCAUCAUUUGUAUCAUGAAUGCUGGGAGUGAAUGAUGGAUUGAUAUCAUUAAUAAUACAUGUAUAUAUAUUUUCUUUUUUUCAAAAAAAUUCGUUGCAUUAAAGAAUCAAUAUCGUUGCAAUAAUCAUAGAAUCAACAUUUCUAAUUCAGCAUGAAUUCAGUAUUGCAACAAUUAUUACACAUAUUUGCAUAACGAUUAACUGAUGCUACACGUGGCUAUUACAACGAUACACACCACGUUGUGA